This 71-nucleotide transfer RNA is filed under the name Marmota monax (woodchuck). RNAcentral describes it as "tRNA.Ala". The record is from RNAcentral. Lineage: Eukaryota; Metazoa; Chordata; Mammalia; Rodentia; Sciuridae.
GGGGUUGUAGCUCAGUGAUACAGUGCUUGCCUAGCAUGUAUGAGGCACUGGGUUUGAUUCUCAGUACCACA